CACGUAGGCGGCUUGGUAUGUCGGGUGUGAAAUCCCCGGGCUCAACCUGGGAACUGCAUCCGAAACUGCCUUGCUCGAGUAUGGGAGAGGGAAGCGGAAUUUCCGGUGUAGCGGUGAAAUGCGUAGAUAUCGGAAGGAACAUCAGUGGCGAAGGCGGCUUCCUGGACCAAUACUGACGCUCAGGUGCGAAAGCGUGGGGAGCAAACAGGAUUAGAUACCCUGGUAGUCC
RNAcentral lists this ribosomal RNA (229 nucleotides) under uncultured bacterium. Its description in RNAcentral is "partial 16S ribosomal RNA". It matches the Rfam family "Bacterial small subunit ribosomal RNA", at positions 568 to 796 of the family's 1533-position model. The record is from RNAcentral.